UAAACAUGCUGACGUGUCACAACGUAAGACUGUUCUCUUUUUCUUUCUGCCGGCAUUCAAAGGCCCGAGGUCUUUUUCUUUCCGCUUGUCAUCUUCUUUCCCUUUCUCCUCUCUCCCUCCCCCUUCUUUGUUGAGUGAAUGUGAGCUGCGUGUGUGUGGCGGCUUCUGUGUGUUGGCUGUGGUUCAUUCUUGAGCUGCAAUCGGCGCCAGCGUUGUCUGCACUGGGUUGGGGGGAGCGUGGGCCGUGGCUUCGUAACGUGGCUCUGCAGUGACCCACGUAAUACCGCCGCCAUCGAUGCAUCUUUCCACCUCAGCAUGCUCUUCCGUGGCUCUGGCUACUUUGAUCUGCUGUCAUGCUCAGCUCAUCUCCCCUUCUCGGCCGUUGCUUAAUGCUCACACAAUCAGGCACGCACGCAUGCACGUACGCCACAGAUUACAGAAAGAAGCAGGUGCAAAAGCAGGUUGCUCUCUUCAUUCCUCUCUUACCGCCGCCAUCACCCUCACCAUUUCGACAUUGCACGUAGCGCUAAUUUCUCUAUGCGUCCAUACAUCUUCUUGCUCACCUAUGCUGCCGAGCGCAGCCUCCGGCGUUCGCACUCCUCCUUCCUUUGAUUCCCUUUCCUGUCGGUAGAGUGUUUCUGUAUGUGCGCGCGUGUGGGUGUGCGAGCGUUCAUCGAUGUUUGCAGCUGACCGCGUAGACGUCACCUAUUCGCUGUUUCUUCUUUUUUUCUCUUCGCCAACGACGUUGACUGCGUUUGGGUUCAUUUUUAUUGUUUCACGUUCGUUGUUUCUUUUUCUGAAUGCCUUGUCAUUAUUAUUUUUUUUCGACCCUCUGCCACCCUUCCUCUCUCUCCCCUCCUCUCUCUCCCCCUCCUCCUUUGCUUCACAUUAUCACUCACUCCUCCUCUUUCUCCGCCGUCUCCACAAUCACACACGCACACCCCACUUUUUGUGGGCUCGCUGUCGUUAGUCGUGAGGGCUCAGCCGCCUCGCUUGUCCUUUGUUCGUGUUUUGUUUGCUCACUGUCCCAUCCUGCGUGGCUGUCUUUCUGCGGCUUUCUUUUCCGCUGCUGCUUUUGUCCGUUCUUCUCCUCCUUUGUUCUUGCCCCAUCUCCCUCCUUUCCGUUUUCAUCAGCGAGGCGCUUUCGCGGAGAUUUUUGUUUUACAUUUCUUGAUGUACUCGUGCUUACCGUAUUGAUCUGGACGCCCCGAAGACGGAGGGUGGGGUGGGGUGGGGAAGUAGUUUGGCACACACCUCGGUGUGUGCGGUGCCAGGGAUCAGUGCCCGCUCUGUGGGGAAAUCCUGGCAGCCCCUCCUCCUCCUAUCUCCGCGAAUGCCGAACUACCUCCGGUAGUGGCAAGAUCAAGUACCCGCAGCGUAGGGAAGUCAGUGCGAUGUAUUUGCUAUUCAUGCCAGCGGGCAGGUCCUGGAUGGGCGUGGCGUCGGAGCGACGCGCGACCGUGAACAGGGUUGUGCCAUCCAUAUAGUAGGCAGGGUGUCAGCGUGACUCAAACGUGGCCCAACCGUCCCUCGCACUGCCUGCGGGGCGGGGUGUGGGUGGGUAGGGUUUGAGGUAGGGGUCGUGCUCCGAUGACUGCGUCGGUGCAUUGCUGGAGCGCGCGUCUGCACGACUGCUUCGCACCACGCGAGGGGCACCCCUGUGGCAGGCAGGCCAGGAGUUGCUCGGGUGGCGCAUGACCUCAUGUUGUACGGCCGAGCGUUGGACACUGAAAUAGCAAGGAGUUGCUGCGGCGGCGGUCGUGUUUGCGUCUCCCACGUCGGUGUGUACUGUUCUACGAAGAGUAGUGACUCCCCACGGACGCGACUCGAGUGGGUGCAUGAGCGCUUCCCUUUUCCAAGAAGAAGAGACUAUUUCCGCUCCUUCUUGCGGGCGUGCCCUCUGCGCGCCAGCCUGAAGGAAUAAAUGUUAGGUUCCGUUACGUCCAUUUUGUUUUUGUUUUGCUUUCCAGCGCAAUAAGCACAGAUUUCGACUUAUGUGUACACCCAGAUCCAUGUACGCGGUAUGUCGCCCUUGAGAGCUCUCCGCUGACGGGCACAUCUACAGGCAAGACAUGCGCAUACCCACACGCGUCAACACGAAGAAAAGAGCGAUUUCAUGCUUCUCUCGAAGUCCUCCUUGUGCGCAUGCAUGCAUGUGGACGUUUUGAAAAACAUUACGUCGGCCUUGCUUUUGGAUGCUGUCGUCGCUCCCGCCGAGUGCCGGACUCGUGCGCGUCUGCUUUUGUGAGUGAACGAGAAAGAUCUUCGCACGCGUGGGGUGCUUGUACGUGUGUGUGUGUGUGUGUGCCAGAGAGUCGUUGAGUCUGUGUAUCUGUGCCAUUGUCUGGAUCGUCGAGCCACCGGUAUUCGGAGCGGCAUUUGCCUUCCUUUUCCUUUGCUCUCCAGUUGCUGUUUUUUCGUUGUUGUUUUCGAAGGUUGGUGGCAGGAGCGAACGAGGGAGGGACGACGGAAACACGAUGUGAUGAGGAGGCGCGAGUCAAAGUGCUCGCCACUAUUCCGAUGGCAUGCUCCACCAGCCACUUGUCUUUUCCUCGUUUGUCGCUCUCGUAAUCAUUUUUGGAUUUCGGAGAGUCGAGUCAUACGCGUGUUGCACCCCUCUCUUCUCCCCAGCCCCCAUUUGGCUGCUUGCCACGGCAGAAAUCCCUGGGUGUCGGAAAACGGGUGUGCUCAAGUCUGCCUAUCCGUGAGUAGCGCUACCCGCUGGCGGUGUGAGUGCAGCAGAGUUCUCGCGGAGAGCUCUGCCAGCGCUGGAGGUAUCGAGAGCUCGAGUGGGGAAAGACCAGUCUGGUGCGCUCUUCCGCGGCAGUAGGCCAUUCGCCACCUACUACGAAGAGUCGGGAGCGUGCAUGGAAACUCAUCGUGCGUAUCUCUUGGCAUCAUAACCCCUCUCUUUUUUUUUAGUAUUUCUAUUAUUAUUGUUGUGAUGGAUGAUUCAGCGUUGGGCAUAAAUCUGAUGUGCCUAUGCACAUGUUUUGGGUCACUGUCCGUGGAUGUUUGUGGCACCUGUGCCUCUCUAUCUAUAUCUCUAUCUGUAUAUAUAUAUAUAUAUAUAUAUACGUUGACGUUAGCGCAGGAAUGCGUACUAGAUAAUGCGAAUGAAACGAAGCGGUACGUCGUGCACAUUGCCAUAUCGCCUUAUUUUUGUUGAGGCAGCGCUGGUGUUCAGUGCUUGAGUGUGACUUGACACAUCUGAAGGCGAGAAGCACCCAUCCAUGUCAAGAAGUAGCAUGCAGCGCCCCCGUCACUUCAUUUGCUAGUCAUUCUACUCUUUAUCGUCAACGGUUUCGCUGCCUUUGUUGCGUCUCCUAUAGUUCCUCUUUCUCCUUCUCCUGUUUACCUUGAGGUGCACCCCAG
Molecule: unclassified non-coding RNA, 3375 nt
Filed under: Leishmania donovani
Lineage: Eukaryota; Euglenozoa; Kinetoplastea; Trypanosomatida; Trypanosomatidae
Description: gene:unknown
Source: RNAcentral